UACGGGGGGGGCAAGCGUUGUUCGGAAUUACUGGGCGUAAAGGGCUCGUAGGCGGCCAACUAAGUCGGGUGUGAAAUCCCCAGGCUUAACCUGGGAACUGCAUCCGAUACUGGAUGGCUUGAAUCCGGGAGAGGGAUGCAGAAUUCCAGGUGUAGCGGUGAAAUGCGUAGAUAUCUGGAGGAAUACCGGUGGCGAGGGCGGCAUCCUAGACCGGCAUUGACGCUGAGUGAGCGAAAGCCAGGGGAGCAAACAGG
This 254-nucleotide ribosomal RNA is filed under the name uncultured bacterium. RNAcentral describes it as "partial 16S ribosomal RNA". It matches the Rfam family "Bacterial small subunit ribosomal RNA", at positions 524 to 776 of the family's 1533-position model. The record is from RNAcentral.